Molecule: long non-coding RNA, 539 nt
Filed under: Nicotiana benthamiana
Lineage: Eukaryota; Viridiplantae; Streptophyta; Magnoliopsida; Solanales; Solanaceae
Description: long non-coding RNA (NBEN_LNC036978)
Source: RNAcentral
GAAACUUAAAUAAUUUAUAUAAAUAAACUUAGCCUAAGUUACUGCAACGAUUUGGACUUUGUUUAAUCAAUAAAACAACCCACCAUGCAAGGGCUAAAACAAUACAUUACAUGCACAACAGAAGUUUUUUUACAAGAAAGCAGAGAAAAAUAUGGCUAACCCAAAGAACAAAAAUGAAAAAGUUCACAAGCUACGUGAACUAGCACAUUAUUUGUCGUUCUAAUGCCCUUGCUACGUUGUGCAGAGUCCAAAUUGUUACUUCUCUUAAGUUUCACCUAAAUUAUCGUUAGAAUCCAGUGAAGCAAAGCCACUAGGGUAAAUUUUCUUACCUUUACUACGUUUACUGUCCUCUACUAAUUUUUUCACCGCGCCACCCUCAUUAUUACUACUUCGAGCUUUUUCCUCUUCCAUUCUCUUCGACUUCCCUUUUAGGCGUAUUUGCUGGAAGUGAAGAUGGGCAUAGUUUACUCCCAUGGAAGCCAUAUUUCGAAUUUUAUAGAAAAAAUGCUAAGUAUUUGAUGUAUGUUUGCUAAUUGCUU